ACGUAGGGUGCGAGCGUUAAUCGGAAUUACUGGGCGUAAAGCGUGCGCAGGCGGUUUGACAAGACAGGCGUGAAAUCCCCGGGCUUAACCUGGGAAUGGCGCUUGUGACUGUCAGGCUAGAGUAUGUCAGAGGGGGGUAGAAUUCCACGUGUAGCAGUGAAAUGCGUAGAGAUGUGGAGGAAUACCGAUGGCGAAGGCAGCCCCCUGGGCUAACACUGACGCUCAUGCACGAAAGCGUGGGGAGCAAACAGGA
This 253-nucleotide ribosomal RNA is filed under the name uncultured prokaryote. Its description in RNAcentral is "partial 16S ribosomal RNA". It matches the Rfam family "Bacterial small subunit ribosomal RNA", at positions 525 to 777 of the family's 1533-position model. The record is from RNAcentral.